GUGCUUGCUUUGCAGCACAUAUACUGAAAUUGGAACGGUUCAGAGAAGAUUAGCAUGGCUUCUGUGCAAGGAUGACACGCAAAUUCGUGAAGCAUUCCAUACUUUC
This is a small nuclear RNA of Choloepus hoffmanni (Hoffmann's two-fingered sloth), 106 nucleotides long. The record is from Ensembl. Lineage: Eukaryota; Metazoa; Chordata; Mammalia; Pilosa; Megalonychidae.